This 253-nucleotide ribosomal RNA is filed under the name uncultured bacterium. Its description in RNAcentral is "partial 16S ribosomal RNA". It matches the Rfam family "Bacterial small subunit ribosomal RNA", at positions 524 to 776 of the family's 1533-position model. The record is from RNAcentral.
UACGAAGGGGGCUAGCGUUGCUCGGAAUCACUGGGCGUAAAGCGCACGUAGGCGGAUCUUUAAGUCAGGGGUGAAAUCCUGGAGCUCAACUCCAGAACUGCCUUUGAUACUGGGGAUCUCGAGUCCGGGAGAGGUGAGUGGAACUGCGAGUGUAGAGGUGAAAUUCGUAGAUAUUCGCAAGAACACCCGUGGCGAAGGCGGCUCUCUGGGACGGUACUGACGCUGAGACGCGAAAGCGUGGGGAGCGAACAGG